UACAGAGGUGUCAAACGUUGUCCGGAAUUACUGGGCGUAAAGGGCGCGUAGGCGGCCUUAUAAGUCACGUGUGAAAGCUCUGGGCUCAACCCAGGAAUUGCAUGUGAUACUGUAAGGCUCGAGUUCGGUAGAGGAGGGCGGAAUUCCAGGUGUAGCGGUGAAAUGCGUAGAUAUCUGGAGGAACACCCGUGGCGAAGGCGGCUCUCUGGUCCGAAACUGACGCUGAGGUGCGAAAGCUAGGGUAGCAAACAGG
Molecule: ribosomal RNA, 253 nt
Filed under: uncultured bacterium
Lineage: Bacteria
Description: partial 16S ribosomal RNA
Rfam family: Bacterial small subunit ribosomal RNA
Source: RNAcentral